UCCCCAAUACACGAAAGUGUGACGGGGCCAUCCCGAGUGCCAUCCGCUGAGGAUGGCUUUUCCCCAGUGUAUAAAGCUGGGGGAAUAAGGAGAGGGCAAGCCUGGUGUCAGCCGCCGCGGUAAUACCAGCUCUUCCGAGUGGUGGGGAUGUUUAUUGGGCCUAAAGCAUUCGUAGCCUGCUUGGCAAGUCCUCCGUUAAAUCCAGCGAUUCAAUCGUUGGCCUGCGGGGGAUACUGUCUAGCUAGGGGGCGGGAGAGGCCGACGGUAUUCCCGGGGUAGGGGUGAAAUCCUAUAAUCCCGGGAGGACCACCAGUGGCGAAGGCUGUCGGCUAGAACGCGCUCGACGGUGAGGGAUGAAAGCUGGGGGAGCGAACCGGAUUAGAUACCCGGGUAGUCCCAGCUGUAAACGAUGCAGGCUAGGUGUUGGCGCGGCUACGAGCCGCUCCAGUGCCGCAGGGAAACCG
Molecule: ribosomal RNA, 464 nt
Filed under: uncultured organism
Description: bacterial SSU rRNA
Rfam family: Archaeal small subunit ribosomal RNA
Source: RNAcentral